Molecule: ribosomal RNA, 254 nt
Filed under: uncultured bacterium
Lineage: Bacteria
Description: partial 16S ribosomal RNA
Rfam family: Bacterial small subunit ribosomal RNA
Source: RNAcentral
UACGUAGGGUGCAAGCGUUAAUCGGAAUUACUGGGCGUAAAGCGUGCGCAGGCGGUCGUGCAAGACAGAUGUGAAAUCCCCGGGCUCAACCUGGGAACUGCAUUUGUGACUGCACGGCUGGAGUGCGGCAGAGGGGGGAUGGAAUUCCGCGUGUAGCAGUGAAAUGCGUAGAUAUGCGGAGGAACACCGAUGGCGAAGGCAAUCCCCUGGGCCUGCACUGACGCUCAUGCACGAAAGCGUGGGGAGCAAACAGG